CUCAUGUAUAAAUCCAUAUUAAUUCUAUUAAAAUAUGUACAUAAUUACAUGGAACAUAAUUUUACAAGUUGUUUUAGAACCUAUUUUAUCUUUGUCUGGUAAUUAAUUCUUUGGAAGUACUACAGUCAGAGUUUUUUCCUCAAUAAGAAAAGCUUCAUCCAUACAUACUUACCACCUUUUCAUUCUCAUGGUUCCAGGUGACUAUAAAAAUCACAUAUGGCUGGUAUCGUAGGAUUAGAAUAUAAAGGGAUAGAUACAAUUUCCUUAGCCACAUGGCUAAUGAAAACUCCUUCCUCAAAAUGAAAUUAUACUCCUCUUCCUCCAGUCUUAAAGUAUUUACUUGUUCAGUUGGUGUGAGUAUCAACCACUAAAAGGCAAACGGGAGUGGAGGCAAACGGGAGUGGAAAAGUGAGAAAUUUUGAAGAGAAAGAAUAAAGGAAAAAGAAGAAAUAAAAAAUGGAGGGGAAUAUUUGCCUCCAUUGUGACAAAUGUCAACUAACAAGACUCUUUCCUUUAGGAUUACUAACAACUACUCUUCAUUUUUAUUUUAGAUGCUGUUUAUUACUUGCAUCCUGGUAACAUGGUAAUCCUAAAACUUCAAGAAAUAUUCUCCAAAAUGCUGAAUAUGUCUGGAAUUACAAGAACCUUCUGUGGUGGAACGGAGUUACUGGACCAAGGACCCAGAUAGAAACACUGCCAGAGUCCACAACACAAUAAGAGCUGAGUAAGUAGGGAGCCAUUGAUCAAGCAGAGAAAAUUUUCAAUUUGUGUUCAUCAUCCCCAGAUGUCAGCAACAAAUGCCAGCUGAAGAUCCUGAAAAAGACCAAGCCAAACAAAUACUGCAGCAGACACAGAACACCCACUCUGCAGCAGACUGAAAACCACUCCAUGAAGACAUGAAAUCAUGCCAAGCCUGAUCACCUGAAUGCCUCAAAAUAUCUGCUGCAAUGCCUGAUAUCUAGUAAAGACCCAAAUGUUUGAUAAUUGAAUGAACAGAAACAAUCAACGAACAAUUGUUAGAGCCAAGUCUAUGUUCCCCAACUGAUAUUUCAAUUUUAUGAAGUCCAUUCAAAAUUCCAGCUGCU
Neofelis nebulosa (Clouded leopard) is the source of this 1085-nucleotide long non-coding RNA. RefSeq lists it as uncharacterized. The record is from RefSeq and is a predicted model, not a curated record. NCBI's taxonomy places the organism in Eukaryota, Metazoa, Chordata, Mammalia, Carnivora, Felidae. The transcript is spliced from 3 exons.